CUGCUGCCUUCCGUAGGAGUCUGGGCCGUGUCUCAGUCCCAGUGUGGCCGGCCACCCUCUCAGGCCGGCUACCCAUCGUCGCCUUGGUAGGCCAUUACCCUACCAACUAGCUAAUGGGACGCGAGUCCAUCUUUCAGCGUCAGGUCUCCCAACUUUUCCUAUAUAAACAUGCACUUAUAUAACUCAUCCGGCAUUAGCUCACCUUUCGGUAAGUUGUUCCAGUCUAAAAGGCAGGUCACUCACGUGUUACUCACCCG
Molecule: ribosomal RNA, 257 nt
Filed under: uncultured bacterium
Lineage: Bacteria
Description: partial 16S ribosomal RNA
Source: RNAcentral